RNAcentral lists this ribosomal RNA (480 nucleotides) under uncultured bacterium. Its description in RNAcentral is "partial 16S ribosomal RNA". It matches the Rfam family "Bacterial small subunit ribosomal RNA", at positions 28 to 507 of the family's 1533-position model. The record is from RNAcentral.
GAUGAACGCUAGCGGCAGGCCUAACACAUGCAAGUCGAGGGGUAGAAGGAGCUUGCUCCUUUGAGACCGGCGCACGGGUGCGUAACGCGUAUGCAAUCUACCUUGUACAGGGGAAUAGCCCAGAGAAAUUUGGAUUAAUGCCCCAUAGUAUAUAACCUUCGCAUGUUGGUUAUAUUAAAGUUCCAACGGUACAAGAUGAGCAUGCGUCCCAUUAGUUAGUUGGUAAGGUAACGGCUUACCAAGACGAUGAUGGGUAGGGGUCCUGAGAGGGAGGUCCCCCACACUGGUACUGAGACACGGACCAGACUCCUACGGGAGGCAGCAGUGAGGAAUAUUGGUCAAUGGACGCAAGACUGAACCAGCCAUGCCGCGUGCAGGAAGACGGGCCUAUGGAUUGUAAACUGCUUUUAUACAGGAAGAAACCCUCCCACGUGUGGGAGCUUGACGGUACUGUAGGAAUAAGGAUCGGCUAACUCCGUG